Long non-coding RNA from Gallus gallus (chicken), 821 nucleotides. The record is from Ensembl. Lineage: Eukaryota; Metazoa; Chordata; Aves; Galliformes; Phasianidae.
GAAAUUCCUCGUUAAGGCUGGAAGCUGAACGCAAGGAUCUUUUUAAAAUACAGUCAUCUCUGGUUAAUGAUCAGAUCAGAGGAGCAGCAGCACUCUAGGCUCCACAUUCCUUUUAUUUAUACAAUGCUCUGAUUUACAGAAACUGCUUUAUAGAAAAUUUUGACACAGCCUCUCCCUGGAGAUGAGGAUAAUUUAAGAUUCUGCAUCUGAAGCUAAUUAAACAUAAGAAACAGCAGGUGAGACCCCCAUGGAUGUUGGCAGAGAAGAGAAUACAGCAGUCGGGUUGUAUGGAAAAUGAUCUCUGACAGCUCAGCCAUCCAAGGAGUUUGGUUAUAGCUCAUCCUAAUAAUCCUGAAAGCUUUGUGCCACUAAAUUAAUGGCUAAACCUCAGUAGAAACAACAUGUAAAAAUGAAUCAGGAGAAAAGUUGGCAUCUGAACAAACUUUUCUGUCCUAUUGUUUCCAGUAAUCUGUAUUCAAAUACACACACAUGCAUUGAAAUCUCUGCUUGUCUAUCUUGCAUCUUUGGAAACUGCCUAUUUCAAGCUGAGCUUUUCCUGAACAGGAGUGGAAAGCAGAAUGGAUACGUAUACAGGACGUUGGCACAUUUCUGUAGCAAUACUAGCAUUGAAGCAAACUAAUUUUCAAUAAACUUGAUCACUUUAAACAGGUCAACGACUGUUGAUAUCUUCAUCACUCAUAGCAAUGUUCUGAGUUGCAGCAUUUAUCCAGCCUCACCAUUACGAGGCUCUGCAGUCACCAGAUAAACAAAAUAAAAAUGGUAACCUUCACUUAUUUCUGCAGUGUUCCGUGAAAAUCUUG